This 478-nucleotide ribosomal RNA is filed under the name uncultured bacterium. Its description in RNAcentral is "partial 16S ribosomal RNA". It matches the Rfam family "Bacterial small subunit ribosomal RNA", at positions 28 to 523 of the family's 1533-position model. The record is from RNAcentral.
GACGAACGCUGGCGGCGUGCUUAACACAUGCAAGUCGAACGGUAAGGCCCUUCGGGGUACACGAGUGGCGAACGGGUGAGUAACACGUGGGUGAUCUGUCCUGCACUUCGGGAUAAGCCCGGGAAACUGGGUCUAAUAACGGAUAGGACCACCGCCGGCAGGGGCAGUGGUGGAAAGCUUUUGCGGUGUGGGAUGGGCCCGGGGCCUAUCAGCUUGUUGUGGGGGUGAUGGCCUACCAAGGGGACGCCGGGGAGCCGGCCUGUGAGGGUGACCGGCCACACUGGGACUGGGAUACGGCCCAGACUCCUACGGGAGGCAGCAGUGGGAAAUAUUGCACAAUGGGCGCAAGCCUGAUGCAGCGACGCCGCGUGAGGGAUGACGGCCUUCGGGUUGUAAACCUCUUUCAGCACCGACGAAGCGCAAGUGACGGUAGGUGCAGAAGAAGGACCGGCCAACUACGUGCCAGCAGCCGCCGUAA